UUUGAUGAAUCCCAGAAGAAGUGUAGCAAGUAUUUAAAGAGGUUGACGAACAACAGUUGACUUGACCGGUCCAAAUAAUUGACAGUUCGCCAAGUAGUCAUAGUAUUCGGACCGACUGCCAUUUGAACGGGACAUAAUCGCCGUCCCGUUUGAAUUCACAUUCAACAACCAUCAACUAAGACCCAGCUAUAUAUGUGGUCAACGAACGCGACUUUUCUAUUACGGCAAGCUGGGAUUGACCUAAAAAAUUGUCAUGCAGAAUACCAUCCAUGACACCCAUAACUUCUCUAAAAUAGGAUGAUCGAUCACCGGAUGGCGCCAAAAAUACUUAUCGAUUUCUAUGUGACAAACAAUUAUUAUCCAUGAAGACUUGAGCACUCAUGAGAACAAAAAUGUUCUGCAACACGAGUUCUUGUGUUGUAAGUGGGAAAAGUUUGAUGCUCCUUCAUGCGAAAGCAGAGACAAACCAAUAAAUACUCUCUUGGACAAAAGCCACCAUUGUUGUUGGGUCUCUGUGGGUGGUCGAACCGUGAUGGACCUUUUGGUUUUGGUUGGUAAGUACUUUUGGAGUCGUGAUCAUUGGUAUUGGUAUUGUUGUUUUGGGAGGAUAUGGAAUCUUAAUAUCGAAAGACUUUUAUAAGAAAAAAA
RNAcentral lists this long non-coding RNA (648 nucleotides) under Musa acuminata (dwarf banana). RNAcentral describes it as "long non-coding RNA (MACU_LNC004101)". Lineage: Eukaryota; Viridiplantae; Streptophyta; Magnoliopsida; Zingiberales; Musaceae. The record is from RNAcentral.